Molecule: ribosomal RNA, 484 nt
Filed under: uncultured bacterium
Lineage: Bacteria
Description: partial 16S ribosomal RNA
Rfam family: Bacterial small subunit ribosomal RNA
Source: RNAcentral
AUUGAACGCUGGCGGCAGGCCUAACACAUGCAAGUCGAGCGGAUGAAGGGAGCUUGCUCCUGGAUUCAGCGGCGGACGGGUGAGUAAUGCCUAGGAAUCUGCCUGGUAGUGGGGGAUAACGUCCGGAAACGGGCGCUAAUACCGCAUACGUCCUGAGGCAGAAAGUGGGGGAUCUUCGGACCUCACGCUAUCAUAUGAGCCUAGGUCGGAUUAGCUAGUUGGUGGGGUAAAGGCCUACCAAGGCGACGAUCCGUAACUGGUCUGAGAGGAUGAUCAGUCACACUGGAACUGAGACACGGUCCAGACUCCUAAGGGAGGCAGCAGUGGGGAAUAUUGGACAAUGGGCGAAAGCCUGAUCCAGCCAUGCCGCGUGUGUGAAGAAGGUCUUCGGAUUGUAAAGCACUUUAAGUUGGGAGGAAGGGCAGUAAGUUAAUACCUUGCUGUUUUGACGUUACCAACAGAAUAAGCACCGGCUAACUUCGUG